AUACGUAGGGGGCGAGCGUUGUCCGGAAUGAUUGGGCGUAAAGGGCGCGUAGGCGGCCCGGUAAGUCUGGAGUGAAAGUCCUGUUUUUAAGCGGGGAAUUGCUUUGGAUACUGUCGGGCUUGAGUGCAGGAGAGGUAAGUGGAAUUCCCAGUGUAGCGGUGAAAUGCGUAGAGAUUGGGAGGAACACCAGUGGCGAAGGCGACUUACUGGACUGUAACUGACGCUGAGGCGCGAAAGUGUGGGGAGCAAACAGGAUUAGAUACCCUGGUAGUCCACACUGUAAACGAUGAAUGCUAGGUGUAGGGGGUAUCGACCCCUUCUGUGCCGCAGUCAACACAAUAAGCAUUCCGCCUGGGGAGUACGGCCGCAAGGUUGAAACUCAAAGGAAUUGACGGGG
This 397-nucleotide ribosomal RNA is filed under the name uncultured bacterium. RNAcentral's name for it is "partial 16S ribosomal RNA". It matches the Rfam family "Bacterial small subunit ribosomal RNA", at positions 523 to 918 of the family's 1533-position model. The record is from RNAcentral.